RNAcentral lists this ribosomal RNA (253 nucleotides) under uncultured bacterium. RNAcentral describes it as "partial 16S ribosomal RNA". It matches the Rfam family "Bacterial small subunit ribosomal RNA", at positions 524 to 776 of the family's 1533-position model. The record is from RNAcentral.
UACGAAGGGGGCUAGCGUUGUUCGGAUUUACUGGGCGUAAAGCGCACGUAGGCGGAUCGUUAAGUGAGGGGUGAAAUCCCAGGGCUCAACCCUGGAACUGCCUUUCAUACUGGCGAUCUUGAGUCCGGAAGAGGUGAGUGGAACUCCUAGUGUAGAGGUGGAAUUCGUAGAUAUUAGGAAGAACACCAGUGGCGAAGGCGGCUCACUGGUCCGGUACUGACGCUGAGGUGCGAAAGCGUGGGGAGCGAACAGG